GGAGGCUUAGCUCAGCUGGUUAGAGCGCAUGCUUCACACGCAUGAGGUCGAGGGUUCGAGUCCCCCAGUCUCCACCA
This 77-nucleotide transfer RNA is filed under the name Oscillospiraceae bacterium. RNAcentral describes it as "tRNA-Val". It matches the Rfam family "tRNA". Rfam says of the family: Transfer RNA (tRNA) molecules are approximately 80 nucleotides in length. Their secondary structure includes four short double-helical elements and three loops (D, anti-codon, and T loops). RNAcentral also lists the same sequence under 1 other name. Lineage: Bacteria; Bacillati; Bacillota; Clostridia; Eubacteriales; Oscillospiraceae. The record is from RNAcentral.